GCCAAACAGCUAGCUCAAUUACCCAAUAACUAAAUAGUAUAAAUAAAACAAAAUAAGCCUAACACCAAAAAUUAAAUCAUUCUUUUACCUUAGUAUGGGCGACAGAAAAGGUUACACCCGGAGCAAUAGAAAAAGUACCGCAAGGGAAAGCUGAAAGAGAAAUGAAAUAACUUAUAUAAGCACCAAAAAGCAAAGAUUAAAUCUUGUACCUUUCGCAUCAUGAUUUAGCCAGUAUAUCCAAGCAGAGAGACCUUUAGUUUGAAACCCCGAAACCAAGUGAGCUACCCCGAGACAGCCUAUUAAGGGCCAACCCGUCUCUGUGGCAAAAGAGUGGGAAGAGCUCCGGGUAGAGGUGAUAGACCUACCGAACUUGGUGAUAGCUGGUUGCCUAAGAAAUGAAUAGAAGUUCAGCCUCGUACUCCCCGAAUCAAAAGGUAUAAAAAGAUAUUAGAGGGAAAUAUAUGAGAGUUAGUUGAAGGGGGUACAGCCCCUUUAACAAAGGACACAACCUUUCCAGGAGGAUAAAGAUCAUAAUACAUAAGACAUCCUGUUCUAGUGGGCCUAAAGGCAGCCAUCUAAACAGAAAGCGUUAAAGCUCAGACAGAAAUAAGUUUAUUAUUCCGACAAGGAAUCUUACUCCCCUAAAUAUUAUUAGGCCAGCCCAUGCCCACAUGGGAGAGACUAUGCUAAAAUGAGUAACAAGAAGGCCAGCCCUUCUCCAAGCACAAGUGUAAGCCAAACCGGACCGACCAUUGGCAAUUAACGAACUCAACCCAAGAGAGUAAUGUGUAUUACAACAAGACCAGGAAGAGCCCACAAUUAAUCCAUCGUUACCCCCACACUGGUGUGCUAUUAAAGGAAAGACUAAAAGAAGGGAAAGGAACUCGGCAAACGCAAGCCUCGCCUGUUUACCAAAAACAUCGCCUCCUGCAACACAACCAAGUAUAGGAGGUCCAGCCUGCCCAGUGACUACAAGUUCAACGGCCGCGGUAUUUUGACCGUGCAAAGGUAGCGCAAUCACUUGUCUCUUAAAUGGAGACCUGUAUGAAUGGCUAAACGAGGGCUUAACUGUCUCCCCCCUCCAGUCAGUGAAAUUGAUCUACCCGUGCAGAAGCGGG
This 1118-nucleotide ribosomal RNA is filed under the name Gymnocypris potanini. RNAcentral's name for it is "partial 16S ribosomal RNA". It matches the Rfam family "Bacterial large subunit ribosomal RNA", at positions 135 to 2065 of the family's 2925-position model. Lineage: Eukaryota; Metazoa; Chordata; Actinopteri; Cypriniformes; Cyprinidae. The record is from RNAcentral.